UACUUGCCAUCUAAGGAAAGAAAGGUGCCAAUAUUACACAGCAAGUUUCAGCGACUACGCCAAGUACUAUGCACUUGUCUGCUAUGGCCCAGGCAUCCCCAUUUCUACCCUUCAUGAUGGACGCACUGAUCAAGCUACAUCACAUUGUUGCCACGUAUGAACGCCCUGAAAUUUGGAGGCUCUUUCCAUUUUCAACUGCUAUCAAGACAGUCCUCCUCUAUCCUGUAUUUGUGAUAUUGGUUCAAAAUAGUUCACAUCUCAAAGACAACCAGUUUUGCUCGCAGCAGAGUUGUCCAAGUAUCUAAUUGCUCUGAUACUCUUCCUGCUGGCUCUCCAUUAUCUUUUGAUUUACUAUUAAACAACAUUAUAGGGUUGGAGUUUUUGGAGGCCAGGGACAAUGAGGCAGAUGCCACUUUCUUCAGCACUCAUGCCUGUGAUUGUCCCUGGACAGCUUUGGUGACAAGUCAGGAGACUGCCUUGGGAUUACUUUGGCUGUCAGCUCAAUGGCUCAAGUGUAGGUGAAAAUAACAAGAAAAAAAAAAAAAACAGAAUCAAUUUGGGAACUCUGGACAGGACAGGCAUUGUGAUAAUGGGACUGUGAAUUUAGUUUCAUUUUAAGGUUUUUUUUUGAAAACUUGUGUCUAAUAAGGAAAUACUUUUAAGAAUAACAGAUUAUAUUUCUUAAUUUGACCAUCUCAGUCAGUGAGAUUGAUUUCAAGUCGACAAGGUUUUGUUUUAAUAGAAAUCACUAUUAGC
This 756-nucleotide small RNA is filed under the name Pan troglodytes (chimpanzee). Its description in RNAcentral is "retained intron". The record is from RNAcentral. Lineage: Eukaryota; Metazoa; Chordata; Mammalia; Primates; Hominidae.